UACGUAGGAGGCAAGCGUUGUCCGGAAUUACUGGGCGUAAAGCGCGUGUAGGUGGUGGGACAAGUCUGCUGUGAAAGCGCCUGGCUUAACCGGGCGAGGUCGGCGGAAACUGUCUGACUCGAGGACGGUAGAGGGGGGUGGAAUUCCCGGUGUAGUGGUGAAAUGCGUAGAGAUCGGGAGGAACACCUGUGGCGAAGGCGGCCCCCUGGGCCGGCCCUGACACUGAGACGCGAAGGCGUGGGGAGCGAACGGG
RNAcentral lists this ribosomal RNA (253 nucleotides) under uncultured bacterium. RNAcentral describes it as "partial 16S ribosomal RNA". It matches the Rfam family "Bacterial small subunit ribosomal RNA", at positions 524 to 776 of the family's 1533-position model. The record is from RNAcentral.